RNAcentral lists this ribosomal RNA (253 nucleotides) under uncultured bacterium. RNAcentral's name for it is "partial 16S ribosomal RNA". It matches the Rfam family "Bacterial small subunit ribosomal RNA", at positions 524 to 776 of the family's 1533-position model. The record is from RNAcentral.
UACGUAGGUGGCAAGCGUUGUCCGGAUUUACUGGGCGUAAAGCGCCCGCAGGCGGCCUGUCAAGUUCGAGGUGAAAUCUCCCGGCUUAACUGGGAGGGUGCCUCGAAAACUGGCAGGCUUGAGGCAUGGAGAGGGAUGCAGAAUUCCUGGUGUAGCGGUGAAAUGCGCAGAUAUCAGGAGGAACACCGAUUGCGAAGGCAGCUCGCUGGGACGUCACUGACGCUGAGACGCGAAAGCGUGGGGAGCAAACAGG